Molecule: ribosomal RNA, 600 nt
Filed under: Cystobasidium laryngis
Lineage: Eukaryota; Fungi; Basidiomycota; Cystobasidiomycetes; Cystobasidiales; Cystobasidiaceae
Description: eukaryotic LSU rRNA
Rfam family: Eukaryotic large subunit ribosomal RNA
Source: RNAcentral
GAAACUAACAAGGAUUCCCCUAGUAACGGCGAGUGAAGUGGGAAAAGCUCAACUUUGAAAUCUGGUACUUUCAGUAUCCGAAUUGUAGUCUCAAGAAGUGUUUUCUGUGCCGGUCCAUGUAUGAGUCUGUUGGAACACAGCGUCAUAUAGGGUGACAACCCCGUUCAUGACAUGGAUCCCGGUGCUUUGUGAUACACUCUCGAAGAGUCGAGUUGUUUGGGAAUGCAGCUCAAAUUGGGUGGUAAAUUCCAUCUAAAGCUAAAUAUUGGCGAGAGACCGAUAGCAAACAAGUACCGUGAGGGAAAGAUGAAAAGCACUUUGGAAAGAGAGUUAACAGUACGUGAAAUUGUUGAAAGGGAAACGAUUGAAGUCAGACGUGCGUGAUGCGGUUCAGCUCUAGUUCGCUAGAGUGUACUCCGUAUCUUUGCAGGCCAACAUCGGUUUUGUUAGUCGGAUAAAGGUUUGAGAAAUGUGGCACCUUCGGGUGUGUUAUAGUCUCAGACUGAAUACGAUUGAUGGGACCGAGGAACGCAGCGCGCCGCAAGGCAAAGGUUCCGACCUUUUCGCGCUUAGGAUGUUGGUGAAAUGGCUUUAAACGAC